UUCCACACUGUGGAAGCUUUGUUCUUUCACUCUUCACAAUAAAUCUUGCUGCUGCUUGCUCUGUGGGUCUGGCUGCCUUUGUGAGCUGUAACACUCACCGCGAAGGUCUGCAGCUUCACUCCUGAAGCCAGCGAGACCACGAAACUACCAGAAGGAAGAAACUCCGGACACACCUGAACAUGUGAAGGAACGAACAACUCCAGACGUCAUCUUUAAGAGCUGUAACACUCACCACGAAGGUCUGUGGCUUCAUUCUUGAAGUCAGCAAGACCAAGAACCCACCAAUUCCGGACACAAUUGGAAGGUUCUAAACUGCAUUCUUUAAAAGAAACAGUGUUGUCACUUUGCUGAUAACCUUGGACAUUCAAGUGCUGAACUGAAGCUACUUUCAUAGACACUUAGCUACCACUAAUUCCUGGGUCAUAUAUUACUGAUAACAUUGAUGAGGUUUAUGGCUACAUCUGGUAGAUUUGCCACACAUUUUGUAGUGCCUUUGCUGUGCACUCAGCAUGUAACAAAGACCUACAUCUAAAACUUAGCACUGGCUCAUGCCUGUAAUCCCAGCACUUUGAGAGGCCAAGGCAGGAGGAUUGCUUGAGUCCAGGAGUUCAAGACCAGUCUGGGCAGCAUAGCCAGAAUUUGUCUUUACAAGUAACAAAGAAAUUACCAGGCAUGGUGACACACACCUGUGCUCCCAGCUACUCAGAAGACUGAGGUGCUGCAUUGAAGUAGAAAAGCAGUGCUCUAGGAGUGUGCCUGUCUGACAAGCGUGGAUGUGACUCCAGUCCUAACAAGAAUACAACGGGAACCAGAUUGCAGAAAAGAAAGACAAGUCAUCAAAACCAAGGCUGGAGAAAAACUUAAAAUGCUCUUGGAGAAUUGGCUUUCAGGACAGAGGAAAUUAGAUUUAUUUGGCAAAACCUAGCCAAGGCAGGAGCCAAAGUCAGAUGGAUUAGGGCAAUCAAAGCCAAAGACAGACAGUACUGAUAGGAAUUUAAUCAGGAGAAAGAGUCCAAGUGUACGUAAGGCUGGAUCUAGAGACUAAAUCAUGACCUUUUUAAAAGCAGAGAAUCUGUCCCAAUCUCCUCCUUAAUAC
Long non-coding RNA from Symphalangus syndactylus (siamang), 1096 nucleotides. RefSeq lists it as uncharacterized. Lineage: Eukaryota; Metazoa; Chordata; Mammalia; Primates; Hylobatidae. The record is from RefSeq and is a predicted model, not a curated record.